CAGGAUCCCACUCAGAAGUCCAUCCACGCCUAGGAGCAGAGCGGAGGCCAAGCCGAAGGUGGUGAAGACGGCAAAGUCAUUCAGCUCGGCUCCUGCCCCAGACGGCCCAAGGCAUAGAUUUCAGCAGGAGGAGGUGUGUGGGAUAUGGCAGUGAACGAGCUCAAUGGCCAGGCCUGCGAGGCAGCAGCAGCCUCCCUGUGUGUGUGGGACCGUCCAGCCCAGGCCCCCCAGUGCUCCCAGUCUCUCCCAGUCUCUCCCACAACAGGGAAUUGGCUGGCCCUGCCCAUCUUCACAGUCUGUCUUGUCUCUGUUUUUACUCUAAGACCACAUUUGUACACCUUACACUCAAUCUGCUUGAGAAACUGAGUCUCUUGGAGAAAGAGCCCCAUUCCUCCCCAAAACUGAGAAGCCCCGCUGGUUGGGGCAAAUGUACCAGCCACAAAUAGAUCCUGCACUUGAGUGAAAUAAACAAGUUUCAAGGUGUUCCCAGAUCUGUUUUCUCAUUUAAUCCUCACCCAUUUCAGAUGUGAGGAUUAAUCUCACCUCCAGCUCUGCCUCCAUCCAGCCCCUCUGUUCAGCCCCAGGCCCAUCUGGUCUGGACAAGAGCUGAGACAAACCAUGGUCUUUUCUCAUAAACCUGCCACCAACAUGCCAGCAGCUGGGAGGGCUGACUUGGAGUUUGGGACUAGAGUUUAUCAGGGCAGCACUGCUGGGCUCACUGCCUCCAUGGGCCAGCCUCACUCACCAAAGGUGAUCAGUAGCUACAUGGCCAGAGCCAUUGGGAUUCCUAAGACGUUCGUAUGCCAGAGCCCCUCCAAACCUAAGACAAGAAGCAAUGCAAGCCAGGGAAAUCUGGGAAGGGAAGGGGACAAAGGACUUGCUGCAUACUCCCUCCCCAUGAACCCGCUGUAGUGGUCUCUCCUGGGUCUCUGGGCUGACCCCAGCAAGAUCAAACAUCCCACUGUCUGCUGCUCAGAGCCAGUUAGCAGGUGCCCAGGGUCUGUCUACCACCUGUCAAGCAUUGCUGCUGCCUCUGUGCUACUUCACACUGGUUAAUUUUUAAUUAAUGGUCAAUUGUCUACUAUAUUAUCUCUUUCAUUAUCUCCUCCAUUCACAAACCACUUUCACAUUUAGGAUUUCCAUUGGCCCUGUGAGCUCUGUCAGGCAAGGGUUCU
This 1175-nucleotide long non-coding RNA is filed under the name Homo sapiens (human). Its description in RNAcentral is "HSALNT0005766". The record is from RNAcentral. Lineage: Eukaryota; Metazoa; Chordata; Mammalia; Primates; Hominidae.